RNAcentral lists this non-coding RNA (510 nucleotides) under Triticum aestivum (bread wheat). RNAcentral's name for it is "Bacterial large subunit ribosomal RNA". It matches the Rfam family "Bacterial large subunit ribosomal RNA", at positions 2049 to 2521 of the family's 2925-position model. Lineage: Eukaryota; Viridiplantae; Streptophyta; Magnoliopsida; Poales; Poaceae. The record is from Rfam by way of RNAcentral.
CUCUGUAAAGAUGCCGAGUACCAACGGCUAGCCAGUAAGACCCCUUGCACCUAUAUUAUAGCUUCGUAUUGUCAACAUUAAUGAAUGUGUCGGGUAGGUGGGAGGUGGUGACACACAAUGACCAAUCCUUAAAGACCUCGCUUUCGUCUAAGAAUGCCCAACAGCCGCAUCGAUCAUUUGGGAGGGGGGGGGUUGUGAGGUGGGUAGUUUAUCUGGGGUGAAUGCCUCCUAAAGAGUAAUGGAGGUGUUCGAAGGGAGGCUCAACUGUUGAUUUUGCUCGUGAGUGUAAUGGUAUAAGCCUGACUGACUGUGAGAACGACUGGUCGAACAGAGAAGGAAGUCAGACCUGGAGAUCCGGGAGUCCCGUGUGAAAGAGCUCUCGCUCAACGGAUCAACGGUAUGUCGGGGAUAACAGACUAAUGAGCAUGAUUGAUUGGAUUCGAUAAGUAGAGGGCCCACCCAUGUCACCACCAGUACACUGAACCAGCUGUUGAUCGCUAACUGUCCUGG